This 468-nucleotide ribosomal RNA is filed under the name uncultured bacterium. RNAcentral's name for it is "partial 16S ribosomal RNA". It matches the Rfam family "Bacterial small subunit ribosomal RNA", at positions 28 to 507 of the family's 1533-position model. The record is from RNAcentral.
GACGAACGCUGGCGGCGUGCUUAACACAUGCAAGUCGAACGGAAAGGCCCUGCUUUUGUGGGGUGCUCGAGUGGCGAACGGGUGAGUAACACGUGAGUAACCUGCCCUUGACUUUGGGAUAACUUCAGGAAACUGGGGCUAAUACCGGAUAGGAGCUCCUGCUGCAUGGUGGGGGUUGGAAAGUUUCGGCGGUUGGGGAUGGACUCGGGGCUUAUCAGCUUGUUGGUGGGGUAGUGGCCUACCAAGGCUUUGACGGGUAGCCGGCCUGGGAGGGUGACCGGCCACAUUGGGACUGAGAGACGGCCCAGACUGCUACGGGAGGCAGCAGUGGGGAAUAUUGCACAAUGGGCGGAAGCCUGAUGCAGCAACGCCGCGUGCGGGAUGACGGCCUUCGGGUUGUAAACCGCUUUCGCCUGUGACGAAGCGUGAGUGACGGUAAUGGGUAAAGAAGCACCGGCUAACUACGUG